UGGGGAAUAUUGCACAAUGGGCGCAAGCCUGAUGCAGCGACGCCGCGUGGGGGGAUGACGGCCUUCGGGUUGUAAACCUCUUUCACCAUCGGCGAAGCCCAUAGCUUUUGUUGUGGGUGACGGUAGGUGGAGAAGAAGCCCCGGCUAACUACGUGCCAGCAGCCGCGGUAAUACGUAGGGGGCAAGCGUUGGUCCGGAUUAUUGGCGUAAGAGCGUGUAGGCGGCCAGAUAGGUCGGUUGUGAAACUGGAGGCUCAACCUUCAGACGUCGACCGAAACCAUCUGGCUAGAGUCCGGAAGAGGAGAGUGG
RNAcentral lists this ribosomal RNA (309 nucleotides) under uncultured bacterium. RNAcentral describes it as "bacterial SSU rRNA". It matches the Rfam family "Bacterial small subunit ribosomal RNA", at positions 355 to 664 of the family's 1533-position model. The record is from RNAcentral.